This 199-nucleotide long non-coding RNA is filed under the name Cyanistes caeruleus (blue tit). Its description in RNAcentral is "lncRNA (ENSCCEG00000017285.1)". Lineage: Eukaryota; Metazoa; Chordata; Aves; Passeriformes; Paridae. The record is from RNAcentral.
CUCCGCGCCCGCUCUGGUCCGCGCCGGGUCGGGAGCGGGGCCCGGUGGAGCGGCGGCCGCAGGGGAGAGGCUGGGGUUGUCAGGGGAAGGCCUGGAGUCCUCCAGGGACGGUUCGGUGUUCGCAGUGGACGGGCUGGGGUCCGCAGGACAGUUUUUGGCUCAGACCACAGCUACUUUCUCUUUUCCUGAGAUGAUAUAA